RNAcentral lists this transfer RNA (85 nucleotides) under Caldalkalibacillus thermarum TA2.A1. Its description in RNAcentral is "tRNA-Leu". It matches the Rfam family "tRNA". Rfam says of the family: Transfer RNA (tRNA) molecules are approximately 80 nucleotides in length. The record is from RNAcentral. Lineage: Bacteria; Bacillati; Bacillota; Bacilli; Caryophanales; Bacillaceae.
GCGGGUGUGGCGGAAUUGGCAGACGCACUAGACUUAGGAUCUAGCGCCGUAAGGCGUGGGGGUUCGACUCCCUCCACCCGCACCA